GGGUCAGUAGGUUGGUCGUGCCACCGGUACGUACUGGUCUCACUGAUCCCUCCUUCCUGAAGAACCGUAAUGCCAUUAAUUUGGUGUUGCGGGGAAACAGGACUGUUACCUUGAAAAAAUUAGAGUGUUUAAAGCAAGCUAACGCUUGAAUACAUUAGCAUGGAAUAAUGAAAUAGGACGAUCGAUCCUAUUUUGUUGGUUUCUAGGAUUGACGUA
Molecule: ribosomal RNA, 216 nt
Filed under: Glomeromycotina sp.
Lineage: Eukaryota; Fungi; Glomeromycota
Description: partial small subunit ribosomal RNA
Rfam family: Eukaryotic small subunit ribosomal RNA (bases 75-216)
Source: RNAcentral